Molecule: transfer RNA, 71 nt
Filed under: Gordonia phage Rabbitrun
Lineage: Duplodnaviria; Heunggongvirae; Uroviricota; Caudoviricetes
Rfam family: tRNA
About the family: Transfer RNA (tRNA) molecules are approximately 80 nucleotides in length. Their secondary structure includes four short double-helical elements and three loops (D, anti-codon, and T loops). Further hydrogen bonds mediate the characteristic L-shaped molecular structure. tRNAs have two regions of fundamental functional importance: the anti-codon, which is responsible for specific mRNA codon recognition, and the 3' end, to which the tRNAs corresponding amino acid is attached (by aminoacyl-tRNA synthetases). tRNAs cope with the degeneracy of the genetic code in two manners: having more than one tRNA (with a specific anti-codon) for a particular amino acid; and 'wobble' base-pairing, i.e. permitting non-standard base-pairing at the 3rd anti-codon position.
Source: Rfam by way of RNAcentral
AGUCGCAUAGUUUAACUGGUGAGAACAGCUUCCCUGUGGGGCGAGUGUCGGUUCGAAUCCGGCUGCGACGC